CUCUCCCGAUCGAAAAAAAAAACGCAUCCUGCCGCACGCCAGCCCUUCCUCCUCCGGUCCUCCCGAUCGCCCCUCCCCCGUCCAGCGCCCUUCCUCCUCCGUCGCCCGCGCGUCCUACUCCGGCGGCGCCCGCCGGAUCGCACCCAGCCUGCUGCUGCACCCGCCAGCUCGUGCCCGGCCGUUCGCGCCGCUCCUUCCGUGGCGUCCCCGUCGCCGCUGCCCCACAUCGGGCGUCACUCCUCCCUCGGCGUCGGCGUCGCCGAUGCCCUACAUCGCCGGUGAUCCCACGCCGCCCUCGGCGAGGAGGGACGACAGCCCGAAGCUCUGUGGCACCGUCCGUCUCGUGCUGCCAUAUCCGGUUCUUACUCCAGUACUCGCCCAAAGCAACGUCCGUGGAGCCGCAUCCUAGCAGACAAGACGAGGGCUUUUCUCUCCGCGUGAGCACCUGCAGGCGGCUGCAGCACAAUGGAACGUAUUUGCUCGUGUGAGAAGGUUUAGGUUGUUUAGGAGAAGUGAAGAACACCAGGCAAACGGCUAAUUGUUAGGCACAAAUGAAACAAGUAUAUGGUAUGCAGGUAACAACAAUUAGCUCAUUCACCACAUCGAGCUCGGCUGGUCGUGUACUAAUCAUUUUUUAAAGGGACAUGCUCUUGUGAACAAGAAUAUGAUUUUGAUAUAUACUUGGCGUGCAACUAUUUCGAGGUCUGGACCACUUGAUCUUAUACUUGAAGCAAACAUUUUGCACGGAGGAGUAAGCAUGUGCGACUAUCACAUACCUAUCAUUUGGAACACUGAAGUUGCCUUUACGGAUGAUGUCUCGUCUGUAUUAAGCUUAUGCUCUUUGUUACACAUGAUUAAUGGAGCUUGUAUUAGUCUCCAAAUAAGCUUGGCCAAGGCUGUAGGCUCCCCUUUGUGCCACUUUGAUUGGUCUCCGAUAGUGUGCAGGUGCUCAAAUGUCAUUAUGUCCAUUUGCAUUAACUAGGCGUGAAAUAUAUUAUCAGAUCAGUCAGCAAAAAUAGCAAAGUUCGAUGACCUCUGUUUAUUGGACGCUUUAAUGUCUGAGUUAUUUCUUUUGUGCUUAAUAUUUGGGAUGUCAAGCUGCUGAUACAAUAACUUAACGAUUGAUUGCAGUAGGUGUCUUAUCUGUUUUGGUCUGGGGUGUCUUCUUCUUCCUCAUUGGGAUUCUAACAGCUAUUUCUUCUGACUUCUUAUCAAUCACUACUACCAUGAGCAAUGAUGGAGACCAUACCUGCCCACUCUGCGCUGAGGAGAUGGACAUCACUGACCAGCAGCUCAAGACAUGGAAAUGCGGAUAUGAUAUUUGCAACUGGUGCUGGCACCAUAUCAUAUACAUGGCUGAGAAGGAGGAGGCAUAGAUGGACUUGAGAACCCAACCAUUUUCCAGUGCCAUAAGAUCUUGCGAACCAUAACCUGGGCAUAAACCAUUUGCACCCCCAUUUGCACCCAUUUAUAUAUGAGCCUUCUUUUGUCUGUUAAGUUUCUUUGUGACGCUGGCGGUGGCAGCAUCCCGAUCGCCCUCGGCUGCUGCGCGAGCAUUCUGUGAGCACAGGCCAGCAGUGUCUUGACUCCCUCCAGCAAGCUCCCCUGCUCCCCUGAUACUCCACCUUGUACAGACCUGCCCAAUAAGAUUAUUAGACAAUGGUUGCUCAACUAGAGCACCAGUUACCUCUUCGAAGGCAUUUUGUUCAGGAUUAUGGUUCUUUUGUCAUGUGAGUUUUCUUUUAUUGCAUUUCCUUCGAUCAGUGCUCUUACAAUUAAAAGUCAUGUCUUUAGCAGAUGAUAAUGAGUACAUUCAAUGCACAACUGACAUCACGUGUAUGCGGAGCAAUGGGAGGAUGGAGGUUGUUGCUGACAACUAGGCAACGCAGAGCUCUGGCAAGCGACUGGGGCAUUAGCAGGAGGUUAAAAAUAGGGUGGUGCAUGGGGCCAGGGAGGUGAAAAGCGAGAGGAAAAGUGAUAAAAUUGCACUGAUUUGUACCUUUAUUCUACUGUAUCACGUAUCUAACUAUUUGUUUGCAUGGUCACUUGUCUCCAAGUCUUCCAUAAGAGGAGAGUCCUGUGCGAGGCGGAUCAA
Panicum virgatum (switchgrass) is the source of this 2095-nucleotide long non-coding RNA. RefSeq lists it as uncharacterized. The transcript has 7 exons. The record is from RefSeq and is a predicted model, not a curated record. NCBI's taxonomy places the organism in Eukaryota, Viridiplantae, Streptophyta, Magnoliopsida, Poales, Poaceae.